RNAcentral lists this unclassified non-coding RNA (67 nucleotides) under Caenorhabditis elegans. Its description in RNAcentral is "Ce282 C/D snoRNA". The record is from RNAcentral. Lineage: Eukaryota; Metazoa; Nematoda; Chromadorea; Rhabditida; Rhabditidae.
AAAGUCACCAUUCAUAGUUCACAUCAUUGCCUAACGAGUGAUGUGUCUCCGCCAGGUGUCUCAUUUU